GAUGAGCGCUGACAGAAUGCUUAACACAUGCAAGUCAACUUGAAUUUGGGUUUUUUAACUUAGAUUUGGGUGGCGGACGGGUGAGUAACGCGUAAAGAACUUGCCUCACAGCUAGGGACAACAUUUGGAAACGAAUGCUAAUACCUGAUAUUAUGAUUAUAAGGCAUCUUAGAAUUAUGAAAGCUAUAUGCGCUGUGAGAGAGCUUUGCGUCCCAUUAGCUAGUUGGAGAGGUAACGGCUCACCAAGGCGAUGAUGGGUAGCCGGCCUGAGAGGGUGAACGGCCACAAGGGGACUGAGACACGGCCCUUACUCCUACGGGAGGCAGCAGUGGGGAAUAUUGGACAAUGGACCAAGAGUCUGAUCCAGCAAUUCUGUGUGCACGAUGACGUUUUUCGGAAUGUAAAGUGCUUUCAGUUGGGAAGAAAAAAAUGACGGUACCAACAGAAGAAGUGACGGCUAAAUACGUG
This 468-nucleotide ribosomal RNA is filed under the name uncultured bacterium. Its description in RNAcentral is "partial 16S ribosomal RNA". It matches the Rfam family "Bacterial small subunit ribosomal RNA", at positions 28 to 507 of the family's 1533-position model. The record is from RNAcentral.